This 558-nucleotide long non-coding RNA is filed under the name Elaeis guineensis (African oil palm). RNAcentral describes it as "long non-coding RNA (EGUI_LNC007198)". Lineage: Eukaryota; Viridiplantae; Streptophyta; Magnoliopsida; Arecales; Arecaceae. The record is from RNAcentral.
CUCUGCAAACCACUUCCUGAGAGCGCUCCUCCAACUUGGAAAAUUAUGUUACCAACAAGCUGCUAUCUUGCCAUGAGUCCUCGCAGCUGUCCAAUUUUGAAGGAGGGUAUCAUACAAAUCUAGCUCCUCACAGCUGCCAUUAUUCGAAUCUAAAACACCUUGGCUUCAAAAAUGCAGCCGAUCGAAGAGUCUAAUCCAAUUGGGACAUGGUUGAAAUGAGAUCUACAAAAAAAAUUUUCGGACAGACACUAGGAGGAAGACCUACCACUCUGAACAUACCAUGAAUCAUUGGCAAAUGCUAGUCCAUCAUGGUCAUAUGAACUCGCACCCCAUCUAUAGCUAUAGGCACAGACGAAUCUUGUCACGUUGAAAUCACCACCAAGCUUGCCAUAUACAAACCAAGCUUAAUGAAAAUUUAUUGACGUGAUUGUGUGUUGGGAGGAAGAAUCACAUGUGGUGGUUGGUAUUUCAUGUUCAAUGGAAUCUUGGGCGUUCCUUACGUCGUCGUUUCUUGAACAAUUACAAGAGGGUGGUAGUUGAAGGUAUGCUUAUCAAACC